GAAUAUGCUCCGGGGAGCUGGUUAGGCCGGCUGAGAGGGAAUGACAACAUUCCGACCCGUAUACCUGAUCCGGAUAAUGCCGGCGUAGGAACGUGAAGCGAGCGCUUCU
Molecule: non-coding RNA, 109 nt
Filed under: Paenibacillus sp.
Lineage: Bacteria; Bacillati; Bacillota; Bacilli; Caryophanales; Paenibacillaceae
Also listed under: 1 other name
Description: TPP sequence
Rfam family: TPP riboswitch aptamer (THI element)
About the family: Vitamin B(1) in its active form thiamin pyrophosphate (TPP) is an essential coenzyme that is synthesised by coupling of pyrimidine and thiazole moieties in bacteria. The previously detected thiamin-regulatory element, thi box was extended, resulting in a new, highly conserved RNA secondary structure, the THI element, which is widely distributed in eubacteria and also occurs in some archaea.
Source: RNAcentral